GAGUUGAUUCGGCUGAUCUGGCUGGCUAGGCGGGUGUCCCCUUCCUCCCUCACCGCUCCAUGUGCGUCCCUACUGAAGCUGCGCUCUCAGUCGAAGAGGACGACCUUCCCCUAAUAGAGGAGGACCGGUCUUCGGUCAAGGGUAUACGAGUAGCUGUGCUCCCCUGCUAGAACCUCCAAACAAGCUCAAGGUCCAUUUGUAGGAGAACGUUAAAGCAUUUUUUUUUUUCAGAAGAAUUGUUAACAGGAAACAGUAGAUAAUUAUUUCAGCAUAA
This 274-nucleotide small nuclear RNA is filed under the name Meriones unguiculatus (Mongolian gerbil). Its description in RNAcentral is "7SK RNA (ENSMUGG00000013209.1)". It matches the Rfam family "7SK RNA", at positions 50 to 331 of the family's 331-position model. From Rfam's summary of the family: 7SK was discovered as an abundant small nuclear RNA in the mid-70s but a possible function has only recently been suggested. Two independent studies have found that 7SK RNA binds the CDK9/cyclin T complex (known as elongation factor P-TEFb). Lineage: Eukaryota; Metazoa; Chordata; Mammalia; Rodentia; Muridae. The record is from RNAcentral.